RNAcentral lists this ribosomal RNA (606 nucleotides) under Orientzomus sp. 845.12. RNAcentral describes it as "SSU rRNA". It matches the Rfam family "Eukaryotic small subunit ribosomal RNA", at positions 1144 to 1769 of the family's 1831-position model. The record is from RNAcentral. Lineage: Eukaryota; Metazoa; Arthropoda; Arachnida; Schizomida; Hubbardiidae.
UUAAAGGAAUUGACGGAAGGGCACCACCAGGAGUGGAGCCUGCGGCUUAAUUUGACUCAACACGGGAAAACUUACCUGGCCCGGACACUGGAAGGAUUGACAGAUUAAGAGCUCUUUCUUGAUUCAGUGGGUGGUGGUGCAUGGCCGUUCUUAGUUGGUGGAGCGAUUUGUCUGGUUAAUUCCGAUAACGAACGAGACUCUAGCCUACUAAAUAGGGGACCGAUCAAUUCUUGUCGGUCCGUCUUCUUAGAGGGACAAGCGGCUUUUAGCCGCACGAGACAGAGCAAUAACAGGUCUGUGAUGCCCUUAGAUGUCCGGGGCCGCACGCGCGCUACACUGAAGGAAGCAGCGUGCUCAUCGCUGUCCGGCAGGACUGCGUAACCCCUAUAACCUCCUUCGUGAUAGGGAUAGGGGCUUGUAAUUGUUCCCCUUGAACGAGGAAUUCCCAGUAAGCGCGAGUCAUAAGCUCGUGUUGAUUACGUCCCUGCCCUUUGUACACACCGCCCGUCGCUACUACCGAUUGAAUGAUUUAGUGAGGUCUUCGGACUGGCGCUCGGAGCGACCUUCGGGUUGCGCCGGCGUGCCGGAAAGAUGACCAAACUUGAU